Molecule: long non-coding RNA, 216 nt
Filed under: Mytilus galloprovincialis (Mediterranean mussel)
Lineage: Eukaryota; Metazoa; Mollusca; Bivalvia; Mytilida; Mytilidae
Source: RNAcentral
GUUGGUUUCAAACAAAAUAAGUUUCUCUACAAGGAUAGCACUGCGAAAUAUAUUAAGCAACUACCAUGUUAAAAAUCACCAAUUUAACAAACAAAACCUUGUAGUACACAUAAUAGCCUUUUAAUUUCCAGCAGUUUAUAUCUGAAGUAAUAGUCCUUUCUAUUGCUAUCUCUAAUAAUUGUCAACUUUUUCAGAAGCAAUACAUUAUGUAAGAAU